CCUAAAGAGAUGGGGUCCUUGAAGAGGCUAACUGUUCUUGCAUUACAAUAUAACAGACUAACUUAUCAAAUUCCAGCCAGCUUAGGGAACUUGGGGAUGCUGAGAAGGCUUGAUCUAGCUUCUAAUCAAUUGUCUGGUCCAAUUCCUCCAAGUGUAUCAAAUGCUCCACAAUUGCAACUGCUAGAUAUCCGUAACAAUUCUCUUUCUGGAAUGGUUCCUUCUGCUUUGCAGAGAUUAGAAGGAGGGUUUCAAUUUGCCAAGAACAAAGAUUUAUGUGGAGUUGGGUUUCAAACACUAAGAGCUUGCACUCCAUUCGAUACUAUGAACAUCAACCAAGUUGAACCCCAAGGACCAAUCACAAAUAGUACUACUCCGAGGACUAUCCCUGCUGCAUCUGCAAAUUUUCACACACCUUGCAACAAAACCAACUGUUCACAUUCGUCAAAAUUUCCACGAAUUGCGAUUGUUGCUGGGGUUAUUACAGCCACUGUUAUGUUGAUAGGUACUGGAUUUCUGAUCAUUUUCUUUAUUCGCCGGAAAAAACAGAAGAUUGGAAAUACAUCCGAGUCU
This 570-nucleotide unclassified non-coding RNA is filed under the name Hevea brasiliensis (rubber tree). Lineage: Eukaryota; Viridiplantae; Streptophyta; Magnoliopsida; Malpighiales; Euphorbiaceae. The record is from RNAcentral.